This 373-nucleotide ribosomal RNA is filed under the name uncultured eukaryote. RNAcentral describes it as "partial 18S ribosomal RNA". It matches the Rfam family "Eukaryotic small subunit ribosomal RNA", at positions 592 to 976 of the family's 1831-position model. The record is from RNAcentral.
CAAGAGCGUAUGUAAAAGUUGUUGCAGUUAAAAAGCUCGUAGUUGAACCUUGGGUUUGGUUGGCCGGUCCGCUUUUUUGCGAGUACUGGAUUCAACCGAGCCUUUCCUUCUGGCUAACCAGUCGUUUCGGCGGCUGGCGAACCAGGAUUUUUACUUUGAGAAAAUUAGAGUGUUCAAAGCAGGCAUUAGCUUGAAUAUAUUAGCAUGGAAUAAUAGAAUAGGACGUUAUGGUUCUAUUUUGUUGGUUUCUAGGACCAUCGUAAUGAUUAAUAGGGACGGUCGGGGGCAUCAGUAUUCAGUUGUCAGAGGUGAAUUCUUGGAUUUACUGAAGACUAACUACUGCGAAAGCAUUUGCCAAGGACGUUUUCAUUAA